Molecule: RNA transcript, 740 nt
Organism: Rhipicephalus sanguineus (brown dog tick)
Lineage: Eukaryota; Metazoa; Arthropoda; Arachnida; Ixodida; Ixodidae
Exons: 3
Source: RefSeq, a predicted model, not a curated record
CCUCUUCGCUUUGACGAGUAUGUGAAGCCGGUCUGCUUACCUAAACAACGUGCUGUACGUGAGGGCGCCGUGGUGGCGUCGCCUGAAUGGGGCACAAAAAAAGACGAGCAAGUGCACAAAUUCCUGUACCAUUCGACGGCGAAAAUUGUGCCAUUCAAACAGUGCGAUAAAAAUAUCGCACUGCCAAAAGUCUACGGUAUGAAAUGGGACCGUCUCCUAUUCUGCACACAGUCAAAUGGAGAGAACCCUUUGCUGGGUUUGGCUGGAGGACCUCUCACCGUCUUAGACGGCAAACAAGCAGUGCAAGUUGGAGUAGCCUCGUACACGUUCUGCAAAAAGGAUUACAAGCCGAGUGUGCACACUCGCGUGGGGCCCUACCUAACAUGGAUCAAGAAAGUGCUGAAGCGGUGCGCGAUGUGGCAGCGCCGCGGCAGUCGCAACGAAAAGCCACGUUAACGACUCGCAUCAUGACCAUAUCGCAUAACGCGCGUAACCAUAACGCAUUAGUACCACAAAGGCUCGCAUUACGAUUGUUGAUUGCGGAAACACGUUAUGCUACCAUAGCUCAUCCAAUUGUUUAGCCACUAACGAGACGAAGACGACGGCGCCACAGAGUGGAAGGAAGAUGUACUGAAUCGACAACUGAAAAUUUUCUUCGAAAUGAACAGGCCACAUAGAAGUUGGAAAAUGGUGGGCACGUGAAUCAGUUGUGCGAUAAAUACCGAAUAAUCGGGUAUACU